Molecule: RNA transcript, 2142 nt
Organism: Myxocyprinus asiaticus (Chinese sucker)
Lineage: Eukaryota; Metazoa; Chordata; Actinopteri; Cypriniformes; Catostomidae
Exons: 8
Source: RefSeq, a predicted model, not a curated record
CUUGAGCAAAGCAAACACCUUUAAAACAAAAAUAAUAUUGAGACCUCUUCAGGCCUUCUCAGUAUCUCAUCACAGCAUCAUGCACAUCUGCUGGAAAAUAAUUUUGAUGCUGAUGGUUCUUGUGUGUCAGUGUGUUACUGAGCAGCAGCAAGACAAUUUUUUAGAUGCAUCAAAAUUUUGUCUUCAUCUGCCAUCUGAAGAACAGAUGAGUACUGUUCAGCCAACUACAGUGAACAGUAUGGUCAGCUGCUGUAUGCAGGUGUUGAAGGCAAGAAUUCCUCCUGAAAUAAAGCUUACAGGAUUCAAGAGGCAGUAUGCUUUUACUCCAUGUGUUGAUGCCAUUAUAUUUUACACAGAGAAGCAACAAUUCUGCUCUGAUCCUCAAGCAGACUGGAUAACACAACGAUUGGAGGAGUUGGUGUUGGAGUCACUCAAAACACUGAACUCAACGGCACCCGAGGAGCAUGACCCCACACUCAUCCACAUUGUAAAUUCAAACCAAUCAUAUGCUGAAAAUGUCACCUGCUGUAAAACUGUCUCCACGAAGGAAGUAAUCGAUUCCAUAAUUGGUUUCAGGAUGCAAAAAUCUGAUACCACCUGCGUUAAGGCAGUCAUCUUUAAGACUGAAAAGGGGGAAUUCUGCAGUCAUUGGAGACAACCAUGGGUUUUAAAGAAAAUUCGCCAGUUUCUCAGUGCUCAAAGAAAAAUGCUUGCUGAAAAACAUGUGCUCGAACACCUGACCUCCUCACCGACACCAACAACAUCCAUUAGUCACACCACUUUUGUUUGAAGAUCCACCCAAUGAUUCACCUAAGGUGUUUGAGAAAAUUCCACUAUUGAAUCCAACAAAUUUGCAGAGCUCUAAAGGAAACUAGCUGAAACCAUUGCGAUUUGACUGCCUUGAUACCACCAUCAUUUAUUUGUGACUGCUUCUGUGGGAGUUUCAAGGAAUUCACAGUUGAAUGGCAAAUUCAUCGUCAAAGCACAUGUCUAGUUAUGUGCUAUUAAUGGAAUUUGGACCCUCUGAAAUCUAAUGACAAUCUUGAAAUGAUUAAAUAUGAUUGAAAACAAUAGGCUUUGAUUUCACUUUAUAUACUGUUAAAGGAUAUGUAGCUUCUGUGGCAAGAAAGGUGAUACCGGUCUGAAAAAGACUAAUUCAUAUAAAUGAUUUUUUUUUUUAAAUUGAGUAUUUUCUAAUAUGUCUAUAUUCUUUUGGUCUUUCAUAAUAAUCAAAAUAUUUCUAAAGUCAAGACCAUAGAAGUUGAUUAAUGUAUAUUUAUUUCUGCUGAGACCAUGUUUACAUUUGAUUUUAAAGCUGCCUGAGAUCCAUAGAAGAGUUUAGCAACACCAAAAGAAGUACAGAAUACUUCCAAAAACAAAAAGCCACCUUUACAUGGUAUUUGUGGGUAGUUUAAGAAGUACUUUGACACAGUUUAAACCCAGAAGUCACAGCAAUGGAGAUUAACACGCACGUGCGCACACAUGCACAGGUAGCAUCAGGACAGCGAGAGCAAGACAACGAGACCGUUCAAAGGAUUUGACAAUAAAUAUCUACUUCAACAGUGCAGGUGAAGAAUGAAGCGGUGCAGCGGCACCGGCUGCAGUAGCUGGGGAGAAGUUCAUGGAUGUUUGCGCGCCAUGGCCGCACAAUGGGUGCAUUGUGGUAGUCAGGAGCAGAUUCGUAGUGAGGUGCAGGAAACAAGCGAAUAGCAGAAUGGAAGGCAAUCACUCUCCUGACACACGGGCAGAGACAAGGAAUCCUCCACUGAAUAUUCAUGAGCACAGAGAAAAAGCGUACAGCAAACUGGAAGGCAACCACACUCACAACACGCAGGCAGAGAUGGGCAACCAAACAGAUACACGAGAUAGGAUCAACUAAGCAGAGAGCGUGAAGUAAGUUACUUCACACCAAACAAAAAUCUAGCAAAGAUACUGACAACACAAAGGGAUUAAGUAGGGAGUGAAUCAGCAGAGAACCAGGUGCUGCUAGAAUGCUAAUUAGUGGCAUUAUCAGCAUGCCCCUGGGAACAAUCAGUGUUCCCAUGGAAACACUGAUCAUGCAUGCCGGCAGCACCUGCGAAACAUGAGGGAGAGAAAAAACAAAACAAACAGAACAAACUGAAAACUCACCGGAGCCAUGAC